Molecule: long non-coding RNA, 1455 nt
Organism: Rosa rugosa (rugosa rose)
Lineage: Eukaryota; Viridiplantae; Streptophyta; Magnoliopsida; Rosales; Rosaceae
Exons: 5
Source: RefSeq, a predicted model, not a curated record
UAGGUUUGCGACCGCCGAUCUUCUUUCUUCUGUAUCGCUCCCUUCCAUUUCUCUCUCAAAUCGCUGUUAAAUUUCAUCUUUCUCCGGCUCAGGCCAAAUUCUUUCCCCAGUAUAAGCAAAAUUCCCAACUCUUUCUGUCUUCAGGAAGCCUUUGUCAAGACUCAAGAUCGACAUUUACUGUUACGCAGUAUCAGACUCAGCAGCAGUAAUUGGUCGGUGUCGCCGCCGCCGCCAUCAAGGGUUUCCUCUUCCCUUUUUACCCAAUCUUCUCAGAGAUUGAAGAAAAUAACCUUAGGAUUGUUGAAUUUUGUACCCGAUUGAGAUCAAAUUUCAGUCUCUUUUUUUAUUCUUCUAACUGCAGGCACGAUAUCGGCAUAUUGAUUUUGCUCCAGUCUAUGGCAAUGAGAAUGAGGUAUCAAUUUAAUUGUGAAACAAAGCUUUGGAGGAGAACAUAAUUGUGUAUCUGGAAACUGGUUGUGGAAAGACCUAAAUAGCCGUGUUGCUUAUGUAUGAACCAGUUGAUACUCAAACCUCAGAAGAACAUAUGUGUGCUAAAUCCUGAAGAUCUUUGUGGUAUAUAUGGAUCAAAUUGCUCCCAAUGGAUUAUUACAAUGGAGUAUUAGAAAGAAUGUGGCUAUCAUGAAGCCUCAUGAAGCAGCCAAAUUAGUUGCAGAAUGAGAUUUUUCAUGUAAAAGGACACUCCCCUGAACUGAAAGAGUAAGCCAAUCACCCAAUCUUAUCUUAGACUGAAGCAUUUUCUUUUUGGUAAUCACCUUUAUAAACUAAAAUGUCCACAAAUCUACUUCAAAUUUCAUGUUAUUCUUAGACCUGCAAGACAUCGUGAGUCUCCAAGCUGAUAAACACUCUUUAUCUUUCUUCAUGAUUGUCUUUCAAACUUCGAGUAUCGCAAACCUCAAAUUAAUUGAUUACUUUUGCAACUUAUUUAGAAAGUCUGGUUAGACUGCUUAUUUCACUUUUGUUGUUAUUGAUAAAAGUUGAGUUUGCAAUACACCUGUUACAAGUUUUUCGUCGUUUAUAUUGCCGGGCAUGGUAGGAAAUGUCACGGAAUUUUCUGGCUUCAGCCAUCCGAGACAAGUUCGUCUUAGCAGGAGUAAAACAUUUCUUUGAUUCUGUUGGAAAGUCAAUCUCCAAUGAGAGUUUCGAGGCUUGAUGGAAUAGAGCCGUAGAGAGCAACAGAGAGAGCUAAGGAAACGACCUCGCAACUUUCAAGUUUUGAGCUGCUUAACCAAAACAGAGCUUGCAGCGAUGGAGACAGAAACGACGGCGAUAGAGAUAGUAUUGUUACGAGUUAUGAACUCAUCAAUGUCUUCUCUUUUGUAGCGCUUAAUUACAAUUUGGGUUUGAUAUUUCCCAGAUCUAAGUUGAAUAAAUAUUUCUCAACGGUGAUUGUUUCGACUGUUUUAUGAAUAUGUUGGUUAAAUGUGUAUUUUUCAA